This 265-nucleotide long non-coding RNA is filed under the name Pelobates cultripes (western spadefoot toad). Lineage: Eukaryota; Metazoa; Chordata; Amphibia; Anura; Pelobatidae. The record is from RNAcentral.
GUCUGUCACUAGGAAGCAAUGUAAACACUGCAUUUUCUCUAAAAAGUCAGUGUUUACAUUGAAAAGCCUGCAGGGACAGGCUAUAGACACCAGAACCACUACAUUAAGCUGUGUGUGCGCGCCUGCUAGUGAGUGGGCUUGCUUGUGUGUGUGUGUGUGCCUGCUACUGAGUGAGCUUGUGUUUUUAUGUCAAGGACCUUAUGUAUAUCAGUGAGAUUGUUUGUCUAUGAGGCUGUGUAUCAAUCAGCUUGUGUCAGUGAGAUUG